Long non-coding RNA from Gambusia affinis (western mosquitofish), 2483 nucleotides. RefSeq lists it as uncharacterized. The record is from RefSeq and is a predicted model, not a curated record. The transcript is spliced from 3 exons. Lineage: Eukaryota; Metazoa; Chordata; Actinopteri; Cyprinodontiformes; Poeciliidae.
ACUGAAAAUGCAUUGCGGCUAACCCGAAGCUGUGACUGAAAGCAUGCUGCAAGCCCCGAGGCAGUCACCAAGACCCCCCUUCUCAGCCUGCCUUAAAGGUCAGAGGUAAACCACCGCCCCAGCUGCGACGGGGCCGACCGGCCCAGGAAGUAGACGCAGCCGGCGAGCGACGCCUUCGGAGCCGCAGCGCAUUUCCUGUUCCCCAUCCUGAGACCACAACUGUUGUCAAAGCUUCACUUUUUCUGAUGUCAGGUGGAAACAAAUAUCCCACGAUGUACCAAAGCAUCACCGAGUGACAAACAAAGUAAAGUUGUGCGGGAGGAAAACACACAAAGAGCUCAAACUCACAGGAAUUCCCUUUCUUCCCGAACACACAUCCUUGUGCUCGGUUUGGAGCUCCGAGCAAACGACUUCUUCUUCCUCAGCGAAGGAGCGGACACGGCGGCGGACAUGACUGGAGCCUCACGGGAAGAUGAGCAACCAUACUUCUGAAAAAAAGGCCAGCGGGACGACGGGAGGACGGUCUAACGAAGGAUCAGAGUCUCCGGUUCCAGAGCAGACGAGUCGAUGGAAGUGGAAGUCGAGCAGAAGGAAGCUCAGGAACCAGAAACGGCUCAGCUGGAUGACUUGCAGAUCUGCGGCGCAGCCUGCGCUCACGCAAACAUAGAAAAGCUGCUGUUUUAAAUAAAAAGGAGCUAAAUGAAAGCGGAGUCGGUGGAUUUGACGUACCCAUGGAUUGCUGCGUCAGCUGCGAGUUGCGUCUCUGCAGGGCAUCGGCGGUCUGAGUCCCGCAGAUCGUCUUCUGACUUCCUGCUCUGAGUUUCACAGCAGCGGCUCAGAAAACGGCUGCAGGUUUCAUUCAGACUCGUUUGUUUCAGCCUGAGGCUUCAAGAGCUGCUGCUGCUGCUGCUGCUGCUGCUGCUGGUGCUGCAGCCGCGGCUCGGUUCUGGUCAGACUUCCCCUUCAUGGAGCCACUCCUCCAUCUGGUCAGACGUGUUAAUGUGUAACUCAGGCCUGCAGUUCAACUCUCAGCCGUUAUUUAGUCUUCAGAAACUUUUCUUUUGUUUUUCUUUCUACUUUUUCUGUAUUUUACUUUCCUCUCUUGUUUUCUUCCUAUUUUUUCUGAACAUUUCCUUUUUAUUCUCCAUUUCUUUCAUUUCCUGUUUUGCUCUUUUUCUUUAUUUUUCUCUCUAUUUUCUUUCCUGGUUUUUCUUUCAACUAUUAGUAUUUUUUAUUUAAUUUUUUUCUUUUUUUUUCUUUUUUUCCCACAAAUUCAUUUAUUAUUAUUAUUUAUUGCCAUAUUUCCUCCUCUGCUCUUUUGCCUUUGUUUUUAUUUGUCCUAUAUUUGUUUUUGUUGUUGUUUUUGAUAUUUAACUCCUUUUUUAAAAUGUUCUCUAUUUUUUCCAUUUCUUAUUUUUUAUUUUCAUUUUUUCUACUUUUUGUUUUUUCCUCCAUAUUUAUCUGUCCUUUUUCUCUAUUUUCAUAUUUUUCCUUCAUUUUUCCGUUUUCUUUUUCUUUUGUUUCCCCUUUUCAUCAGAUUUCUUUUUUUUUGUUUAUUUUUCUUCUUUAUUUCCAUUUUUUCCAGUUUUCCUUCAUAUUUUCUUUUUAUAGAUUUACUUAAAACUUUUUUAUUAUCGUUCUUAAUUCUCAUAUUCUUGUUUUUCUUUAAAAGUUGUAAAUUUUCUGAAGUUAUUCUGAGUUUUGAUGCAUCACAAACGGCAAUUUUUUUAUUUAAUAUGAAAAUUACAACCUGUUCAAUGAAUCGUGGAUCCAUUUUUUAGAGGAGACGGUGAAACCAAACACACUACAGGAAUUUAUUUUUACCUUUUAUUGCAGCUGAAAGACGAAGUUGCAUCAAAACAAUGUAAUCAACAGACUGAUUGAUUACUAGUUAUUAGUGUCACUCUUUCUAUAAACUUUUAUUUUGGCGUUCAUUUGGGACAAAGAGAAGACAACUUCUGAAAUAAUUCACAAAACUCUAACAUUUCUCUUUCUGCCAGAAGAUUUAAGAAAAAAUAAAAAAUCAGCAAAAGCGAAUGAGAUGAAUCAGCAUCGAUCAACUGAUGAUGUCAUCCAAGUCAUAGGUUAUCAUUUCUGCUGCCUGGAAAUUGAGCUGCUAUUCAUUCCAGUCAUGAGACAGUCAUACUGCAACCAUCUUCAGUCAGAGGCCUCCUCAGAUUCACUGCAACAGUGACUGCUACUGGAGAUCUUUACUCCCCACAGCAUCACUUUGAAGAUACUAGAGUUAACAUUUAAUUUCACUUUGGGAUAAAUGAAGCAGUUUUACGUUGAAUUUGCAGGAUUUUUUGAUCUCCAAAUAUUCUGAUCACUCAUAUUUUGACCUUUUUGUUUUAUUUAGAAAUCCUCAAAGCGGAGGAAGUAUUCAGUUCGUACGAGUGAAAGUCAAACCCUUUGUACGUGUUGAUUCUGAGCACACGUACGCCAAGAUGUUCCAUUAGUAAAUAAACAAAAAUAGAAAGAAA